This 388-nucleotide unclassified non-coding RNA is filed under the name Bombus terrestris (buff-tailed bumblebee). Its description in RNAcentral is "misc RNA ENSBTSG00005027783.1". The record is from RNAcentral. Lineage: Eukaryota; Metazoa; Arthropoda; Insecta; Hymenoptera; Apidae.
ACCGAAAGUAAAAAAUAUUGUAAGAGCCUCAGUCUCGAACGGGCACGGCUAGAGUUCAGAAGUGUAUAAACGAGGAAAAAAUAAAGUUUUCUUCUCUCCUUUAAAUUUCUUUCUCAUUUUACGUGACAUUUUGGCGAUCCUGCCAGGAUACAUCAACGUUGGAUAAAACAAGAUUACGGUUUUGGCCUACGGGACAUCCGACCAAAGGUGUAUCAAGCAACCUGGACUACGAAAAACGGUUUUAUUAGCGCCGAAAACCAUUCUCCCAGGGCAAACCAAAAUCGAAACAAUUUAUCUGGAUAAAGUUCCGACGAGAGUAUGUUUCUGCAAUACUGGACGAUCACCCUUGCCGUCGGCUUUACCACCCUUAACGGAUUAACAAUAACCC